Molecule: long non-coding RNA, 6749 nt
Organism: Strigops habroptila (Kakapo)
Lineage: Eukaryota; Metazoa; Chordata; Aves; Psittaciformes; Psittacidae
Exons: 4
Source: RefSeq, a predicted model, not a curated record
UUUGCAUGGGCUUAACCUUGCCCCUAACGGUCUAAAGUAGAUAUUUUAACCUUGCCACCAGCAUUGUAGUGGGGUAUAAAAGUUGAGAAAAAGAGUCUGAAAGUGCCUAUGCUCAGUUAAUUGGGAAAACAACCAGUUCCCCACGGUAUCAUCUACCCCAUUUGCCAAAAGAGACAAGUCUUGUAUGUUUCAAUCAGAAAAGUGCAACUCCAGUAAUGUGGCUGAGACAUUUACUUUGAAAAGGAAAAAUCUUAUUUCCAAGGUCAAUCUGAGGCUUCCUGGGUUCAGACUAAAAUACUUUGUGGGGCCAAAGGAAUAUUUACUGGGAUCUAGGGAGCAGGGAGUGAAUGUGAAGUUUGAACAUAUUUCAAGUCAGCCUGGGUGGUCUUUCUCGUUUUAUAUAUUUGUGUCUCCUCAGACAACCUUUUUUUUUUUUUUCCUGAGAAAUUGGAAGUGAAGAAAAUGAUGACAUUUUUUGCUAGUACAUUUCACUUGGGUCAUUUCCUGCACUGAACCAAAAAACCUGCAUUAUUUACAUCCUUUCCAGAAUGCGUUUCUUUCCAGUGCAUCAUAUGAAACUAGGUCAAAUUUUGCCCAUGGGCUGCCACUUCUCCUGUGUUAAACUAGAAGGAAUUUCUGUAUAAAGCAACGGUUUGCUUUAUGUGACCUUUGACAGUGGGAGUGUUGGGAGAAUGACAUUAUAUGUUGUAGGGCUAAUGCUAGAUGGAGCUUUGUAGGCAGUUGUAAAUUAAACAGCAGCAUUUUACAAAUGAGCUCCAUAAUGAGCAGGUGAUUGGAAGAUGCUGCAGGUUAACAUCUGAAUAGAGAAACUACCACCUAGCCCAGGAAUGGCAGUAAAAGGUUAAAAGAAAUAUUCAAUAUUAUCAAUCAUAUUUCAAAAAAGAGAGAACUUCUUACAGCUGCCAGAGGAGCUAGGGAGAAUUAAUGUGUCUGUGUCAAAAAGACUGAGAACAAGUGAAACAGGACAAUAGUGAUUGCCAGAAUCUUACUUGCCUGGAGAGAUAUUAUUGGAUAACCAGUUAACUAGACAGGAGCUGAGAAUCCUCUUGCAGAUGCUACGGAGCAGCUUUCAGAUACGGGAAUGUACAAGGACCCCCAUCAUCUUGUCCUCUCUAGGUUGUCUGAGUUGCUCAUUAAACCAGGGAAACCUCCAGUGAGGUGUGAUGACCUGAAAACAGACAGGAGCUAAAGAAUCAAUGUUUUAAGUGAAACAACAAUUAUAAAAACAUCUACAGCUCCUUCCAUGCAAUCAGGUAAAUUACCAGGAGUGGCGUAAAACACCUAAAUUGGAGAAAAAGUGGAGGAAGGGGGAGUGCAGGGAAAAGAAGUUCCCUUGGGAGAUAUCCAAUAGGAUGCUUAGUCUGGGUAAAGGGCAAAAGGUUAAGUGAAAAUGAGAUGAAGGAAUGAUCAGAUAUAGUCAGAUCAGAGACAGUUAAAUAAAGGAAUGUGCUAAGCUAAGAUAAAUGUGAAGAAACAUGUCUGUGCUGAGUGUGUUGGUGUAGCUGUUCUUCAGCAGUUCAGGAACCUGAGAGGAGGAAAUCCCUGUUCCCAAUCCAUAUCACUCCUAGCUGAAGCACUUCCCAGCAAAGAAACAGAAGGGCUAAGGACACAGGUUCGAGAUUCCUCUCUGCUACUCCCAACAGUGUAAAAGGAUAUUAAAAUGCUUCUAAUUACAUCUACACCUUUUGCAGGUCCCUAUUUACUGCUGGUGUGAUAGAAAUCAUUCUUAGUGAUGAGAAAGGAAGCCAGGCCUGUGCUUCCUUUGUCGGUGGUUUUGGACAAUGAGAAAGAUGCUAUUUAAAGAAUGUGAAAACAGAAGUACUGGUAAUUACUCAAAAGCUACAAAUGCUGGUUGCUACCUUUUUUAUGGGUCGGAAAGCAUGGGUUUCCAUAACAACAGACAACAUUGGGUUUAAAGAGGUGCAUAAUGUAACAAAUAAAUGCUUCAGACUAUGUAAAACUUCAUUAAAUAUUUCGGUAAAUCUCCAUUCUUAGCCUACUCAACAAAAAUGGCCUGGAUAACAGAUGGCACCAGAAAAGCUCAAGUACCUGUACUGACCAGGUCUGGAAAGGACCACAAGAAUUUUGUCCAAAAGCCUUUGGUGGUUUAUAGCUUUUAAAUGUUUCUAAGAAUGGCCUUAAAUUUCUAAACCCCAAGAAGAAAGUUCAAAUUCUUAGACACAUAAUUUAGAGGUUAAUACUUUUUGUGUUUCCUCUGGAGCUUAUUUAACAUAUAGAUGUAAUAUUUAACAUAUUUAACAAUUAGAACUGGGAAUUAUAAAGUGGAGCUUUAACCUGUCUGCUAGAUGCUAAUACCCAAACUAGAUUUCUGAAAAGAAAUUUUGGUGCUCUCAACAAUUUUGGUGUUACAACAAUUUGAGGGGAGAAAUCGGUGUGUGUUCUUUUCAGAGUUUGAUUAGUCACAGAAUUCACUAAAUCUAGCUGAACUUAUCUUUAAGACUAACACAGAUCCCACAUAUACUUAUGUCACCCCUAAGCCACAAUGAAAGAAGCAUAAGUCUGUAAGUGAGGAGUUUCAAAUGAAAGAGGUGGUUGAAGCAUUUUAACUUUAUUCAAUCAAGGUCAGUUUUCCUCUGAAUUAUACCUGUUUCCUUGUCUAGCAUUUCAGGUACCUUCCAAGUAUGUAUCAACAGAGUUUGUAAGUGGCAUUCAACAACGAAGAAGAAAGCAAGCUGCUCACAAAACUCCCCUCUUCUGCAUGUGAUAAAAAAUAGAGUUCCACAGGAAGAGAUAAAAGAGUGUUUGGGUCUCAGUCAUCUGUGCCUAUGGGAAAGGUGUGGUGGAGAGGCCAGCAGCUCCGGAAACAGAGAUAGCAGGGUGUAAAUCUGCAGCACGGCUCUACAUGCACUGAAGACACACCAGUAAUGUAUUUGGAAGGAGAAUCAGUUCCUUUGCUUUAUGGAGCACUGAUGACUGACCAUGACUACAGCUGGUGGAGGAUGUCAGACUGAUAUGCAGUUGCUCUUACUCUACCAGAGUGCCCAGCUCGAGUGUCUUCCUCAUAUUAAAUCAAGCUUCAGAUGUCAGAUCAAUGAAGUAUUUCCCCCAAAUCAGAUUGAUCCUCAUCAAAAUUAGGAGAGAAUGAAACAGUAUGGGAGACAUCUGAAAUAUCAUCAAAAUCAAGAUGAAAGAAAAUAAAGAUCGUAAAUUAACUAUAAAGACCAUUAGCACUCAUGAAAUGUAAUGCAAGGUAAAAGAUCACACUGAAACAAAAAUUAAAGAGGUACACAGAGAGAGCUCAUUACCUUACUUGAUUUUCCCUUUUAUGGAUUAGAUUUUACACUUUUAGAAGUUUGAGUGGUUUUUUCCCAGUCAGAGCAUAAGUUUUAUAACUCACCUAGACCCAGAAUUUUUAUUCUGUAGGCAACUUCAGAGUCCCACACAUUAAAUAUGUGACAUAUCAUUCCACUACCGUGGAGCAGUUUGCCUCUGAGAACAUAGCAGAGAUUAGAGAGCUCAGAACUAACAUAUUCCUCAAACCUGAGUUUAACAUGAAUCUUAUGGAUGAUGCUGAAUUGCAACUGCUUCGAAUUCAAAGACAGUUGUAAUGUCUUUACUAUCUCCAUCCUGUAUUUGACAGUAGAGCUCCAUGUGCUUGGCGAUUUUGCUACAGCUGUUCUUUGAAGGGUAAAUUCCACUGAACAGGCAAUCUGUGAAAGAAAGCUAAUAAAAACACAACACCUGUUUGGCUGUGCAAGGAAGCACACAGCGCCUGCUGUGCUUACAGCAGCAACAGAAAAAAAAACCUAUUGUCUUUGCAAAAAUAACUAGCUUAUUUUUGAACCAGAGAUGAUUCUUUCGUAUCCUGACUUAAAAUACAACUUAUAACUUGGAUUUGAUUUUUUUUUUUUUUAAUAACAGUAGAAGUUUUUCUAAACUAUUCAGAAGAAUGAUACCAGGUUUGGCUCCAACCCAGCAAAGCACAUGUUUAACCUUCUGCAUGUCACUAGUUUCUGAAAUCAGUGGGACUGCUUGCAGCCUGAAAGUAAAUAAUGUGCUUCAGUGCUCUACCACAAUAAGACCUUUACAAUUGUUUUACUCUGUACAGAUAAUUCUAGGAACUCUCACAGAUCGUCUGUGACUUUCACAUAUGAUAAAGAAUCUCUACUAUAGGUAGGAGGAAACCUUGCUACACAUUUCUUUUUAUUGCUUUAUAGCCUUGUGUCCUAUUUCUUUGCCAAUCUGAUACCAGAAUUUAAAUCUUGUUGGAGAUUAGUUAUAAGCAGAGGGAGUUAAAUGCAUAUACAAAAAGGAGGCCUUUCUUGGCAAACAAAGAAAGGAAAACAGACAUAUAUAAUAAAGUAAUGGCACAUAUAUAAAUUAUAUCUGAAACAAAUAAAGGGUUCAUUUAGCUCUGAUGCUGAAAAAAAAAAAAAGGUUUGUUUGUCUAUUUUUAACCUGCAAGGAGCAAAGGACUUUUAUCUUUGCAAGACUGUCUUUGAAGAGACUAUUUGGGGUACAGAAUUUCAUUAAUGAAAAUUAUGUUAAAUGCUUUUUUUGACCUGCAAACCUGGAACAUACACUUAAGACAACCAGCACUGCUGGAAGCAAGUGGCCUGACUGCAUGAGGACUGAUUAUUAACAUCUUGACUGCAAGUGCUUGGAAUUACUGUAAAUACCUUUGAGACAUCAGGAGCUAUACUACCAAGGUUGACAGUUUUACGAAAUAAUUAUGGCUAUUGUCUCUGGGAGAAUAUUGUUGGAAUUUGAGUAGACUCAAUCUGAAAAGCACAAGCUUGUAAGGAACUUUUGAAAAAGAAAGAAAAAUAAAAUUGAUUCCCCCCCCAAAUAUAUUUUUCUGGCUUGCUCAGGCACCAUCUAACAAAUGGCAUCACUUUAGUAAGAAAUAUUAGCCCUAGUCUUCUGAAUACCAAUCCAUCUUUUUUUGUGCAAUGAAAAAUAAAGAUUCAGCUCACCUACUUGUUGCUGGCUGAAGAGCCCUCUCUUACAAUCAGUUUCUGAUGAAACCUAUUAUGUGCAUUUAAGGUGAGAAACUACUGCCUUCACCGUGGAUGAAAAACAACUCUCACCUUUACCUCAGGAUGCUAAAGCGGUUUAUGAAAUAAUGCUUGUGCUAUCAGCCUGAAAAAUAAAGCUUAACCCAAAACACCCUCCCCUCCCUCCCCUUAGAUAUACAGCAAAGUUUCAUGGAGCUUCACAAUGAAGAAAUGUGAGCAGACUGCUGCUGAGCUUGGCUGAAAUUAUACCUAUGGUCUCAUUUUUUUCAGUCACACCUUCAUCCACACAUUAGUUCCUACAUUACUCCUGUCAAGCUGUGCUUAAUACUUGCCCCAGGUGAAAGCCCUGACUCCUCCUUACCUACAGUGUCAUUACACAGGUGGCAAAGUAGCAAGUCUUUAACAAAGCUGAGCUUAAUUUAUCGACCUGAAUCUGGUGGGCAGGGUUGCCGUUUCAGGGUGUAAAUACCCCUGCCCCCUUGCAUCUGAGAAAAUCACUGCUUUGCUGACAGAAUGAGGAAAUAUUAGUGAAGAGAAUAUUGCCUGAAUAUGCUGAUGAAAAUUAAACUAGUGUUCAUGGUAUUUUGUCUAGCCGAUGUUUGAUUUGUCUGUUUCACUCUGCAUCCUUUCUCAGGGAACAACACUGAAGGUUUAUGCUCACUAAUCUCUCCAUCCACAUAGCUUUUUAAGACAGAGAGAUGCUUCGAAUUCACUAUGAGAGGUAAAAAUCUAAUACCUAGCACUCACAUCUACCUCUGAGUUCAGUGAUGUAUUUCAGCCCUGCGCAUCUGACAUGCAGUAAAAUAUCAACAUCUUACAGUACCAGAUACUAAUUAGAAAAAGAAAUGCGUUAGAUGUCAGGCCUCAAGAAAGCAAACUUAAAAUUCUGACAGCAGCUGGAGAAUGAUAGCCAUAAUCAAGCAUUGUCCCUGCUUAGAUCUGUGCCAAACAACCUCGCUUACUUCCAGCUAAUUCUCCAUCAGAAACGAUAUUUCUUUACGAUUCCAAAGAAACAUGUUGUCAGUUCCCACCUGCUGGCAUUGCUAGAAAUAAAACCACAGUUGAUCGGAUGCAAUAGGUCAGCAGAAUAGUGCAUUGAACUGUUUGUGCUUCUGAGCUGUGAUACAGGGGAUUCGCUAACAUUUAUUAACCCUUUCUCAAAUCUUGGUGGUUGUUAUGCUUUCAUAAAGCAAUAAGGUUUCAAAAAUGGAAACACAUCCUUUUAGCAAUUUUGAAAGAAGCAAAAUUUGGGCUUGGUGCCAGGCUAAAAGUUCGAUAUCAUUUGAAAAACAAAAUACAUUAGAAAAGAAAGAAAAUGCAGAUGUCAGUCUAGUGACACAGAGUAAUCUAUUUGCUCAGCGCUUGUAUUUUCCUACCAAUUUAGUAUUUUUCAAAAAGGACAAUAAAAGAAUUGUGCUCACUGCUAAUUAAUGACAAGCUGGUAAAAGCAUCUAUCCAUUGUUCCAUUUAUUUCUUCAUUUCCAGCAGUUAACAGCCCUGUUCUGAAAUGAAUCAAUGUCGUUUACACAAUGCUGUCACCCCUAUUGUUUCUUUAUCAUCCUUGCAUUUUCAUAAAUCGGAGGUGUUAAUCCCUUAAUGGCUUCUUUCAGAGCUCUAAAAUGUAUGCAAAAUGGUAAUCCAUCCCCUAAACAAUUCACAUUUACGCAGGCACCCUCUUAAAUGUGUUUACUAUUAAAAUGAAUCCUUUGUUUGGAUCUAACGCUAUCUGUUUGUUUUCUAAACACUGAA